This 338-nucleotide long non-coding RNA is filed under the name Mus musculus (house mouse). RNAcentral describes it as "long non-coding RNA chr4:48972977-48973315". Lineage: Eukaryota; Metazoa; Chordata; Mammalia; Rodentia; Muridae. The record is from RNAcentral.
CUCUGCAUAGACGGAGGAAACAACUACCACUGUGUCUGCAUAGGUAGUGGAUUCAUAGGGACACACUGUGAGAAUUUGAUGCCUUUUUGUUGGUCAAAACCUUGUCUCAGUGAUACAACAUGUGAAGACAAUGUUGACAGUUAUAUUUGUCACUGCUGGCCUGGAUGCACAGGUGCCCUGUGUGAGACAGACAUAAAUGAAUGUAGUAGCAACCCCUGCUAAUUUGGGGGUGGGGAUGUGUCAAGCUGUCUACAGAAGAUCUACUCAGACACAUUGCUGGCCUGCUUUCAGCCUUCAACUACCAUAGUGCCUCAGGUUAUGCUUGUAUCUGUCAGCCA